GUGAACCAUUGAGAUUUUUUCUGACAUGAGGCACGGGCCGGUUAGGGUUGGGGUUAGGGUUAGCGGUUAGGGUUAGGGGGUUAGGGUUAGGUUUUAGGGUUAAGGUUAAGGUUAGGGUUAGGUUUUAGGGUUAGGUUUAGGGUUAGGUUUUAGGGUUAGGGUUAAGGUUAGGGUUAGGUUUUAGGGUUAAGGUUAAGGUUAGGGUUAGGUUUUAGGGUUAGGGUUAGGUUUUAGGGUUAAGGUUAGGUUUUAGGGUUAGGUUAGGGUUAGGGUUAGGG
Long non-coding RNA from Ictalurus punctatus (channel catfish), 278 nucleotides. The record is from Ensembl. NCBI's taxonomy places the organism in Eukaryota, Metazoa, Chordata, Actinopteri, Siluriformes, Ictaluridae.